This 476-nucleotide ribosomal RNA is filed under the name uncultured bacterium. Its description in RNAcentral is "partial 16S ribosomal RNA". It matches the Rfam family "Bacterial small subunit ribosomal RNA", at positions 28 to 523 of the family's 1533-position model. The record is from RNAcentral.
GAUGAACGCUGGCGGCGUGCUUAACACAUGCAAGUCGAGCGAGUGAGUUCUUCGGAACGAUCUAGCGGCGGACGGGUGAGUAACACGUGGGCAACCUGCCUCAUAGAGGGGAAUAGCCUCCCGAAAGGGAGAUUAAUACCGCAUAACAUCGUUGAAGGGCAUCCUUCGAUGAUCAAAGGAGUAAUCCGCUAUGAGAUGGGCCCGCGGCGCAUUAGCUAGUUGGUGAGGUAACGGCUCACCAAGGCGACGAUGCGUAGCCGACCGGAGAGGGUGAUCGGCCACAUUGGGACUGAGACACGGCCCAGACUCCUACGGGAGGCAGCAGUGGGGAAUAUUGCACAAUGGGGGAAACCCUGAUGCAGCAACGCCGCGUGAGUGAUGACGGCCUUCGGGUUGUAAAGCUCUGUCUUUGGGGACGAUAAUGACGGUACCCAAGGAGGAAGUCACGGCUAACUACGUGCCAGCCGCCGCCGUAA